This is a long non-coding RNA of Oncorhynchus kisutch (coho salmon), 1525 nucleotides long. RefSeq lists it as uncharacterized. Lineage: Eukaryota; Metazoa; Chordata; Actinopteri; Salmoniformes; Salmonidae. The transcript has 3 exons. The record is from RefSeq and is a predicted model, not a curated record.
UAGUGUUACAAUGUCCGUUGGUGCGUGUGAGUACCUGUGCUGUGUGUUUUGGGCUUUCGUGCUUUCGUGCCUUCAGAUUACAGGUUUUGUCCCGUGUGUUAAUCAUUGUGCGCGUGUGUAUUUAUUCAAUGUACUCCUCACUCUUUUGUUUGGGUUUCAAUCCUGUUUUUUUGUACGUGGUUGUUUGGUCUUAGUCCCCGUUCCUUUUUACUGCACGCCGUAAUUUGGUGUAUAACAAAAAAAACUAUUACGCAUUCCUGCGCCUGUCUCCCGAAUCAUUGUUACCAACGUGACAUAAGCACAGCAGCCAUCUUCUUCCUUCCUGAGCUCUUCUAUGUAGAUUCCAGACGUCUCUACAUGGACAAGAUUUCAUCCUCCCUACACGCUGAUGAAUAUAACUGGAAACCUGUUCGAUCACCAUUCACUGCAAAAUCAUUCUUGCUAUGGAUACGAAGGAUAUCAACAUAUUAACACGCCAGAGAAAAUAUUGACUGAACUUGGAGCUCUGCUGGGAGUUUACCUAAUAUUUAUAUUUUUGAAUUCUGCUUUGCCACUAAAAUCAUAAUAAACAUUGACUACUAAACUAUUGUGUUAUUGUUAUGCUGAUUAAUAAUACAAAUAAUGGGGGGAAACCCCAAAGGGUUAUUCAAGGAACCAUUAAAGUUUUUUUUUAAGAACUUAAAGGUUCCCCCAGUUUCAAUUUGAAGAACCCCUAAAAGAUCUUCCAGGAACCUUUUCUUUUUAGAGUAUAAUACUUCUGAGCCAACUUUAUAACUCUGCCCAUAGCUUCUGGACUUUAUAGCAUUCCCAGAAGGCAUGGAUUAUUGAGUCGUUGUUAGUUUUACACUUAAGACAUGCCUCUGCCGUUGUGCUGUAGAAUUUGUGAAUUUUGUCUUGUAUAAUAUAUUCUGUACAUUUGUUUAUACUGGAUUAAAAGUACAAUGUUAGCUGUAAAUGUGUUAGUUAUGUUCCAACAUUCCUCCAUCGUGUGCUGAUAUCAGUUCUUUUUUAGUCUUGAUUCCAAUAGUUAAUUUUUUUCUAAGAGAUUGUCUGUUGGAUAGGCUCUCUGCAAGGUUUUAUAUGUCUUACCUAUCAAAUGAAUAUCCUUUUCUGACUCAAAUAGGAUCCCUUCAAGACACAGCAGAUCUGUUAUGUGAUGAGACAUAUCAUGAGCUGUUAGAGAGUGGAAUAAGAUAUGAACAUACUCUAUUUUCUUUUCUUUUACAACUAUUGUACUUUUCCUGCUGUGGGAGAACUAUACUAUAUCCUGAAUGAUGGAUAUGGCCUGCUGCCAUGUCUGUCAAUGCAUGACAUUUAGCACCAAGCAUAAAGGAGUCUAAUCUCCAUGCUUUCCCAUAUACUCCAGUGCCCAUAUGGCGACACAUGAGCGUAGAGAGUGCAGCCGAGCCCAACCCAGGAAGGCAUUGUACAUGUAAGGUCAGGCGAAGUGUUGACAGCCCCCUCUUUUAAUUACAUAGAGCUGAGAUCAGCACUAACAGUAAGGGUGUGUGUGUGUGUGUGUAUA